UUUUGGACUAUGGGGGUAACCCUGAUCCAGCCAUCCCGAGUGUAUGUUGAGGGCCAUCGGGUUGUAAAGUGUUUAUGGCAGUGAAGAAAAGGUAUCUCCUGAUACGAGUUACUGCUGACGGUAUCUGCAGCAUAAGCAUCGGCUCACCUCGUGCCAGCAGCCGCGGUAAAACAGCGGGUGCAAAAGUUAAUCGGAAUUACUGGGGGUAAAGGGGGUGUAUGCGAUUCGGAAAGAAACAUAGGAAAACCCAUGGCUCAACCUUGUAACAGCAUUUUUAACUGCCGAUCUAGAGAAUGUCAGUGGAGUGUAGAAUACCACGUGUAUCAGGGAAAUGCGUAGAUAUGUUGAAGAAUACCGAUAUCGAAAACAGACCCCUGUGAUAAUACUUUCGCUCAGACACGAAAGAGUGUGGAGCAAACAG
This 421-nucleotide ribosomal RNA is filed under the name uncultured bacterium. RNAcentral's name for it is "partial 16S ribosomal RNA". It matches the Rfam family "Bacterial small subunit ribosomal RNA", at positions 362 to 775 of the family's 1533-position model. The record is from RNAcentral.